Molecule: ribosomal RNA, 497 nt
Filed under: uncultured bacterium
Lineage: Bacteria
Description: partial 16S ribosomal RNA
Rfam family: Bacterial small subunit ribosomal RNA
Source: RNAcentral
GAUGAACGCUGGCGGCGUGCCUAAUACAUGCAAGUCGAGCGAACAGGUGAGGAUCUCACUGUACUCACGUGAGCAACGGGCGGGUAAGUAACACGUGGAUAGCCUAGCUCUUAGGCUUGAAUCACUUCGGCAGACUGGAUCUAAGACCUGAUAAUAUAUUUAGUGUGAUGGUUCAAUAGUUACAUACGGUUUUGCUGACCCUUAGAGAUAGAACCGCGCCGGAUUAGCUAGUUGCUAAUGUAACGGCGUACCAAGGCCAUGAUGCGUGGGCGACCUGCGAGGGUGAUGCCGAACACUGGGACUGGAACACGGUCCAGACUCUUAGGGGAGGCAGCGGUAGGGAAUCGUCGGACAUGGGGGAAAGCCUGACGGAGGAGCGCCGCGUGGGUGAUGAAGGUAUUCGUAUCGUAAAACUGUGUUAUUAGGGAAGAACCAAUGCGUAAGUAACGAUGCACGUCUUGACGGUACCUAGUCAGAAAGCCACGGCUAACUACGUG